RNAcentral lists this transfer RNA (74 nucleotides) under Chlamydiota bacterium. RNAcentral's name for it is "Chlamydiae bacterium tRNA-Met". It matches the Rfam family "tRNA". From Rfam's summary of the family: Transfer RNA (tRNA) molecules are approximately 80 nucleotides in length. Lineage: Bacteria; Pseudomonadati; Chlamydiota. The record is from RNAcentral.
GGGGCAAUAGCUCAGUCGGUUAGAGCAACGGACUCAUAACCCGUCGGUCGUCAGUUCAAGUCUGACUUGCCCCA